RNAcentral lists this ribosomal RNA (253 nucleotides) under uncultured bacterium. RNAcentral's name for it is "partial 16S ribosomal RNA". It matches the Rfam family "Bacterial small subunit ribosomal RNA", at positions 524 to 776 of the family's 1533-position model. The record is from RNAcentral.
UACGUAGGGUGCGAGCGUUGUCCGGAAUUAUUGGGUUUAAAGGGUGCGUAGGUGGUCAAUUAAGUCAGUGCUGAAAUAUCCCGGCUUAACCGGGAGGGUGGCAUUGAUACUGAUUGACUUGAGUGGAGUUGAGGUAGGCGGAAUUGACGGUGUAGCGGUGAAAUGCUUAGAUAUCGUCAAGAACACCAAUAGCGAAGGCAGCUUACUAAGCUCUAACUGACACUGAUGCACGAAAGUGUGGGGAUCAAACAGG